Molecule: small nuclear RNA, 104 nt
Organism: Hyaena hyaena (striped hyena)
Lineage: Eukaryota; Metazoa; Chordata; Mammalia; Carnivora; Hyaenidae
Source: RefSeq, a predicted model, not a curated record
GUGCUUGCUUCAGCAGCACAUAUACUAAAAUUGGAAAGAUACAGAGAAGAUUAGCAUGGCCCCUGUGCAAAUGUUGAAAUCUUAACUCCUAACAUAAUGAUAUU